GUAAAAACAUUUUUUUCCACCACCUAGGAUCCAGCUAAAAAAGGUUUAAGGCCUAUCCAUGUAGCCAUUAUUGCAAUCUUUGUGUGUGUGUGUGUGUGUGUGGAUGACUUGAUAUAGAGGUGAUGGGUGAUCUUAUGGGGACCUAUUGGUCAGGCAGUGACUUACUUCAUUUUAAUUCUUUGCAGGUCAAGAUUUUGAUUGUUUCCCAGAGAUUAGAGUGGCACGGUACACAGUAUGGAGGGCUUCACCUGGGGAACAACUGAAGAUUAACUGUUCUGUUGAUUUAUGUUCCAACUCACCACCACCAUCACUAUGGUGUAAGGUUGAAUCAAACAACUGCAAUACUGUCAACACAACAGCUCUCAUUCAAACACAGUGGACCAAUUUGACAAACACUACAGGGAUCUCAUUUCUGACUUUCAAAAACAUAUCCAGAGGUGAUGCUGGUCUAUACAGGUGUGAAUUACACAAGGCUGUGGGUCAUUCUAUCAAUGUUAUCGUCUCAGAGAGAGUCAAAGACACCACAGAUGUGUAUCAGAACAAUGAAACAACAAACAGUACAGUGAGUCAGAGGGACAGCUUCCUGGAGUGGGUGUGGCCUUAUGUUUACUCCUCGGCUGGGAUUGUGGUGUUUGUCAUCGUGGUGAUAACCAUAUCCAUGCUCUCAAUGCGUGGUUGUAAAGGUGCCUGUCCGUCCAGGAGGUCAAGGAAAGAGGACCAAACAGAGAACCAGUUCAAACAGACAUACACUUUACACAUCUCCCUUUCAUUUAGUCCUGUAUUAGUACUAUUAGUACAGAUUCUGAAUGGUCUUUAAUGUGUUUACAGUAUGUUACAUGGUGGAGUCUUUUGGUGCGCUCCUUGUCUGUCAGU
Salvelinus sp. IW2-2015 is the source of this 873-nucleotide non-coding RNA. Lineage: Eukaryota; Metazoa; Chordata; Actinopteri; Salmoniformes; Salmonidae. The record is from RefSeq and is a predicted model, not a curated record.